CAAUAGCUACUUGCAUCAUUGAAAAUAUGAUGCAAGAUCGACUAUGUCGAAUAAAAUUCUAGGUAGAAUUAUGAUAAUGACAUUGUCUGCCUAUGUGUCUUGACCAAAUUACGUGCCAGCAGUCGCGGUAAUACGUAGAAGACUAGUGUUAUUCAUGUUUAAUCGGUUUAAAGGGUACCUAGACGGUAAAUCAAGCCUAAAAGGAAGGAAAUAAAGGGACUAAUUUACUAGAGUUACUUAUGAGGGGGUAUUAAAGUACUGCUGGUGUAGAGAUGAAAUUCUGUCAUACCUCUUUUCAAUAGAAAAAUAAUGGCACAGGUAUAGGCGAAAGCAUCCCCUUAUGUGAUAACUGACGUUGAGGGACGAAGGCUUUGUGUAGCGAACAGGAUUAGAUACCCCAGUAGUCAAAGCAGAAAAUGAUGAAUGUCAUAGAUUAGAUAUAUAAGUUUAUUCUAUAAAUGAAAGUGUAAGCAUUCCACCUCAAGAGUAAUUUGGCAACAUUGGAACUGAAAUCAUUAGACCGUUUCUGAAACCAGUAGUGAAGUAUGUUGUUUAAUUUGAUAAUCCGCAAAAAACCUUACCACAAUUUGAAUAUUUAUAUUUUUUUUAUUGUUUUUCUUUUUAAUUUUCUUCCGAUUUUCUAGUUAAAGGAAAAUUAGAAGAAAAAGAAAAAAGAGGCAAUAAGA
Molecule: ribosomal RNA, 686 nt
Filed under: Melanelia agnata
Lineage: Eukaryota; Fungi; Ascomycota; Lecanoromycetes; Lecanorales; Parmeliaceae
Description: SSU rRNA
Rfam family: Bacterial small subunit ribosomal RNA
Source: RNAcentral